Molecule: long non-coding RNA, 1467 nt
Organism: Biomphalaria glabrata
Lineage: Eukaryota; Metazoa; Mollusca; Gastropoda; Planorbidae
Exons: 5
Source: RefSeq, a predicted model, not a curated record
AGUCCAGCCAGCUUUUUUUUUUUGACAACCUUUUUUCGUUCUCUCUCAUGAAGGAUAUGUUUUGAAAAUUAGUCUUACAAAAUACAAUUCCAAACCAACUCAUGCAGUUAUCGUCUUUUCACAGUAUUGAGGAGUCAUCCUUUUUGCUAGCCAGAGUGUUAAUUGGCAAAAGUGAAAAAUUCAUUUUCUUUAAUUUUUUAAAUUAUUAACAAGUAGAACCAUGGCAACCAGUUCUGAUGAUGUACCAGAAUGGCUCAAGGAUCAUACUUAUACUAUUUCUACUUUCUGGGCAUCCAUUCAAUAUUUAUUUUAUUAACAAGUAGAACCAUGGCAACCAGUUCUGAUGAUGUACCAGAAUGGCUCAAGGAUCAUACUUAUACUAUUUCUACUCUCUGGGCAUCCAUUCAAUAUUUAAUUUAUGUUUGGAAAUGCAAGAAAAAGGCAUGCAUUCCUGAAAAGUCAAUGAUUGGUUGCACCUCUUAAAGAUAACUUUCUGUUAUGAGAAAAGAUGAGAUUCUUGGACUCCUGCAUAGCACCACCAGAAAGGAAAAUCCCAUCAUGUUGCAAAAUAAAAGUCUUGGACCAAUUUUAAUUUAAGAUAUAUAUAUUAUACUGUAAGCUGUAUACAUAUUUAUGUAUAUCCUGUCAUUCAGCCAACAGGUUUGAAUUUAGUAUUUCUUUAAAUCUGUUUGAUAUUGUACUUGAAAACUAUUAAUCUGAGCCCCAUUAAAACAAGAGGGAGUGCAGUGGAUGAGUGGUAAGGGAAAUUUUACUUUUUUAAAAUUAAAAUAAGAAUCUAACAAAAGUAAACAUAUAAAAUAUGGUGCAUUCUCCUUAAAACUAAAACCUGGUGCAAAGGUUUAAAAUGUUGGCAAAAAAAAAAGCAACAUCAAUUAAAUAUUCUUAAUUCCCUUUGCAAAACUUACUGAGAAGAACAUGCAUGUUGUUCCCUCAUAAGUUUCUUGACAGAGGAAAUCUUGUUUAUAUUAGUUUUGAAUUAAGCAAAUUAAGAAAAAAAUUAUAAUCAUUAUUUCAAAUGGUUGUAUCUAAACCUUAUGAAUUAUUUUUCAGUUAUAAGUAUAUUGAAAUGAAUGGAUAAUCAUGAAAUUGUUAAAUAAUUGCUGCUAUCAUUCCAUUGACUAAAGAACCAUAAUUUUUUUUUUUAAUUAAUUUCAAAAUUAAUUAAUUAAUUAAUUUUCAAGCAGAGUUCACAUAGAUCUUGAGUGAAAUUUUUCUUUUUUUGACUAAUGCUUCAAUUUUAUUGUAUCAUUAGUUUUUUAUUUUUAUUACCCAGAAUAUUUUAAAAAUGAGUACACUAUUUUCAUGUAAUAAUGUAACUUGGUAUUCACACAUCAAAAUACGCUAUAAUCUUUAGGCCAUAUAGAUUUGUAUAAAUAUAAAUUAACUUGCUUAAAUACAUUGUAAAUGUAUAUUGUUUGGAUAAGAAUAAAGUUUUUCUGUAGACAA